UCCCCGAUAGCUCAAUGGUAGAGCGGACGGCUGUUAACCGUUAGGUUCGAGGUUCGAGUCCUCGUCGGGGAGCCA
RNAcentral lists this transfer RNA (75 nucleotides) under Chloroflexota bacterium. Its description in RNAcentral is "Chloroflexi bacterium tRNA-Asn". It matches the Rfam family "tRNA". From Rfam's summary of the family: Transfer RNA (tRNA) molecules are approximately 80 nucleotides in length. Their secondary structure includes four short double-helical elements and three loops (D, anti-codon, and T loops). RNAcentral also lists the same sequence under 1 other name. The record is from RNAcentral. Lineage: Bacteria; Bacillati; Chloroflexota.